RNAcentral lists this ribosomal RNA (513 nucleotides) under uncultured Paenibacillus sp. RNAcentral's name for it is "bacterial SSU rRNA". It matches the Rfam family "Bacterial small subunit ribosomal RNA", at positions 354 to 859 of the family's 1533-position model. Lineage: Bacteria; Bacillati; Bacillota; Bacilli; Caryophanales; Paenibacillaceae. The record is from RNAcentral.
GUAGGGAAUCUUCCGCAAUGGGCGAAAGCCUGACGGAGCAAUGCCGCGUGAGUGAUGAAGGUUUUCGGAUCGUAAAGCUCUGUUGCCAGGGAAGAACGCUUGGGAGAGUAACUGCUCUCAAGGUGACGGUACCUGAGAAGAAAGCCCCGGCUAACUACGUGCCAGCAGCCGCGGUAAUACGUAGGGGGCAAGCGUUGUCCGGAAUUAUUGGGCGUAAAGCGCGCGCAGGCGGUCAUUUAAGUCUGGUGUUUAAUCCCGGGGCUCAACCCCGGAUCGCACUGGAAACUGGGUGACUUGAGUGCAGAAGAGGAGAGUGGAAUUCCACGUGUAGCGGUGAAAUGCGUAGAUAUGUGGAGGAACACCAGUGGCGAAGGCGACUCUCUGGGCUGUAACUGACGCUGAGGCGCGAAAGCGUGGGGAGCAAACAGGAUUAGAUACCCUGGUAGUCCACGCCGUAAACGAUGAGUGCUAGGUGUUAGGGGUUUCGAUACCCUUGGUGCCGAAGUUAACACA